CCUUAAGCAGCUCCAUGAGCGCUGGUCUUUUAAGCCAGAGGUGGGACUACAAGCCCCUUAAGGC
This 64-nucleotide transfer RNA is filed under the name Heteronotia binoei (common prickly gecko). RNAcentral's name for it is "tRNA-Lys". Lineage: Eukaryota; Metazoa; Chordata; Lepidosauria; Squamata; Gekkonidae. The record is from RNAcentral.